GUGGCGACCGGGUGAGUAACACGUGACUAACCUACCUUUGAGUGGGGAAUAACCUCGGGAAACCGGGGCUAAUACCGCAUAACACCGAGAGGUCAAAGGAGCAAUCCGCUUGAAGAGGGGGUCGCGGCUGAUUAGCUAGUUGGUAGGGUAAUGGCCUACCAAGGCAGUGAUCAGUAUCCGGCCUGAGAGGGCGCACGGACACACUGGAACUGAAACACGGUCCAGACUCCUACGGGAGGCAGCAGUGGGGAAUUUUGCACAAUGGGGGAAACCCUGAUGCAGCAACGCCGCGUGGAGGAUGAAGCCCCUUGGGGCGUAAACUCCUUUCGAUCGGGACGAUUAUGACGGUACCGGAAGAAGAAGCACCGGCUAACUCUGUGCCAGCAGCCGCGGUAAUACAGAGGGUGCAAGCGUUGUUCGGAAUUAUUGGGCGUAAAGGGCGCGUAGGCGGUGCGGUAAGUCAGCUGUGAAAUCUCCGGGCUCAACUCGGAGCCUGCAGUUGAAACUGCUGUGCUUGAGUAUG
This 523-nucleotide ribosomal RNA is filed under the name uncultured bacterium. Its description in RNAcentral is "bacterial SSU rRNA". It matches the Rfam family "Bacterial small subunit ribosomal RNA", at positions 95 to 650 of the family's 1533-position model. The record is from RNAcentral.